This 501-nucleotide ribosomal RNA is filed under the name uncultured bacterium. RNAcentral's name for it is "bacterial SSU rRNA". It matches the Rfam family "Bacterial small subunit ribosomal RNA", at positions 28 to 522 of the family's 1533-position model. The record is from RNAcentral.
AUUGAACGCUGGCGGCAUGCUUUACACAUGCAAGUCGAGCGGCAGCGCGGGGGCAACCCUGGCGGCGAGCGGCGAACGGGUGAGGAAUACAUCGGAACGUACCCCGGAGUGGGGGAUAACGCCGCGAAAGCGGCGCUAAUACCGCAUAUGCUCUGAGGAGGAAAGUGGGGGACCCGCAAGGGCCUCACGCUCUGGGAGCGGCCGAUGUCCGAUUAGCUAGUUGGUGGGGUAAUGGCCCACCAAGGCGACGAUCGGUAGCUGGUCUGAGAGGAUGAUCAGCCACACUGGGACUGAGACACGGCCCAGACUCCUACGGGAGGCAGCAGUGGGGAAUUUUGGACAAUGGGGGCAACCCUGAUCCAGCCAUGCCGCGUGCGGGAAGAAGGCCUUCGGGUUGUAAACCGCUUUUGGUCGGGAAGAAAAGGUUACCCCUAAUAGGGGUGACUCUUGACGGUACCGGCAGAAUAAGCACCGGCUAACUACGUGCCAGCAGCCGCCGUA